UGCAAGUCGAGCGAAUCACUGGGACUUGCUCCUGGUGGUUAGCGGCGGACGGGUGAGUAACACGUGGGCAACCUGCCUGUAAGACUGGGAUAACACCGGGAAACCGGUGCUAAUACCGGAUAAUACUUCUCUACACAUGUAGAGAAGCUGAAAGUCGGUUUCGGCUGACACUUACAGAUGGGCCCGCGGCGCACUAUCUAGUUGGUGAGGUAACGGCUCACCAAGGCGACGAUGCGUAUCCGACCUGAGAGGGUGAUCGGCCACACUGGGACUGAGACACGGCCCAGACUCCUACGGGAGGCAGCAGUAGGGAAUCUUCCACAAUGGACGAAAGUCUGAUGGAGCAACGCCGCGUGAGCGAAGAAGGCCUUCGGGUCGUAAAGCUCUGUUGUUAGGGAAGAACAAGUACCGGAGUAACUGCCGGUACCUUGACGGUACCUAACCAGAAAGCCACGGCUAACUACGUGCCAGCAGCCGCGGUAAUACGUAGGUGGCAAGCGUUGUCCGGAAUUAUUGGGCGUAAAGCGCGCGCAGGCGGUCCUUUAAGUCUGAUGUGAAAGCCCACGGCUCAACCGUGGAGGGUCAUUGGAAACUGGGGGACUUGAGUGCAGAAGAGGAAAGCGGAAUUCCACGUGUAGCGGUGAAAUGCGUAGAGAUGUGGAGGACACCAGUGGCGAAGGCGGCUUUCUGGUCUGUAACUGACGCUGAUGCGCGAAAGCGUGGGGAGCAAACAGGAUGAGAUACCCUGCUAGUCCACGCCGUCAACGAUGAGUGCUAGUGUUAGAGGAUGUCCGCCCCUUUAGUGCUGCAGCUAACGCAUCAGUCACUCCGCCUGCGG
This 838-nucleotide ribosomal RNA is filed under the name uncultured bacterium. RNAcentral describes it as "bacterial SSU rRNA". It matches the Rfam family "Bacterial small subunit ribosomal RNA", at positions 56 to 878 of the family's 1533-position model. The record is from RNAcentral.